This 1363-nucleotide unclassified non-coding RNA is filed under the name uncultured fungus. Its description in RNAcentral is "sequence contains 18S rRNA gene, ITS1, 5.8S rRNA gene, ITS2, 28S rRNA gene". The record is from RNAcentral. Lineage: Eukaryota; Fungi.
UGCCGCUCAGCGGUGAAGACGUGCUGGAAAGUUGAAGGGUCAGUCGCUGGACGAUUGCCCCGAACUGGUUUCGGCUCCUUUUCUGGAGGCAUUGCGUCUGGCGUGGCAACUUGGGGUGACGCUGCACGUUCCCGGUUUCUUCCGGCCGAUGAUUCUGGAGGGACCGGAGCGGCGGCGCGGGUUGCGCGGACGCGUCAAAUACGGGAUGCGGCUGGCCGAGCUGGCAGGGCACAAGGUGCGGCGCGAUGGAAUCAAGUCGACGAUCGGCAAACUACUGAACAAAUCGAAACGGCCUCAGUCCAAGGCCGUCCCUUUUUAUUGCACGAUGCCGUGGAACGAUACUUACUUUGCGUCCGACGGAACGGUUUCCCAUGUUGCGUGAUGGGGGAAAAGCUCGGAAAUCUGAAAAGCCAGUCGUGGGAAGAAAUCUGGAACGGGCCGCUUUACCGCAAUUUCCGCAGAACAGUCCAUAGCUGGAACCCGCCGGAGGUCUGCCGCGGCUGCACUAUACCGAUGGGGAUUAACGGUGGGGACGAGAAAGCCUACGAUAAAUUUUUCAAUCGCUUCAGCGCGAAAAAAAUAGAGCUCGACGACGCGGCGCUUGAGUUCGGCGCGGAUUUCACGCGCUGGAACUCGCUGCGGAUGGGAAAGCAAGCCACCGUUGGAUGGAUCGGGAGGGAGUGUUGCGGCUGCCGAUGACCGUCGGGGCGCAAUUCCUGCGGCUGCGGCUGAUUGCGCGCGAGCCUGUGGCCGAGACCAAUCCGGGGCGGGCGAUGAUCAACGGGGGUGAGGAAGAGCCGUUUGAUAAUUCGGCGCGCGUCGUGCAUUUUCCGCUGGAACACGUCACCGGCCCAACGAUCGAGUUGCAACUGCAAAUGGACAAGGCCCACCACGUAGGGACCGACGAGCGCUCGCUCGCAUUGGCUAUUUGCGGCGUGGAAACUCUCUCCUAACGUAUUCGUUUUUCUUAAACCCCCCAACGCCCGCUCCACCUGCUUUUCGGCGUCAAUUUCUUUCGGCCGUGCCUCCCGCUCCUUCCACCCCCUUUGUUUUUCUCCCUUUCCCCUUCCUCCGCGCCCAAGCGCCUUCGCGGUUCAAAAAAUCUCCUCUCCCAUUCUCUUCCCUGAAAAUUAUGGGUCUGCAAGGGGCGCUAGAGCGCUUGACUAAAGUUCUACCUUGAUGCGGCAGGUCUGUUGAUUUUCAUUUGCGCGGUCGAUGAUCCAGCGCAGGGCGAGGUCCAGGCGCUGGAUCAGCGUUUCGUGCGUUUUGGCGACGAAAUCGCUGAACCAUUGGGCCUUGAGCAGCAGCCAGAGUCGUUCGAUCGGAUUCAGAUCGGGCGAAUAGCCGGGCAGGUAAACCGGCU